Long non-coding RNA from Drosophila biarmipes, 785 nucleotides. RefSeq lists it as uncharacterized. The record is from RefSeq and is a predicted model, not a curated record. NCBI's taxonomy places the organism in Eukaryota, Metazoa, Arthropoda, Insecta, Diptera, Drosophilidae. The transcript has 2 exons.
UCAAUUUUAAAAUACUUGAAAAGAAAAGCAAACAGGCAAAAUGUUGCCCCUUUUGACCUGAGUAAUAUAACACAAAAUUUGAAAAUGCCAUAGUUUUAGGGGCGAAAACGUGAGAAGAGAAGCCCUAGGGAUGUGACCACCACCACCACCACCCACAAGGUAUUUUCCUCUCCGGACAUUUAUCAUGUGGGACAUACCGCCCGUUUGAUUAACACCUCUUGGAAAGUCAAGGCAAACUAGUUGUUGCUCCUGUUCCGCCAUUGUUGUUUGCGCAUUUCAUUUCGGUGGCAUUUUGCAUGCCUCGUUGAAUUUGGAAAAAAUAACAUAUAUGCACAGAGAAGAAUAUACACAUAUAGCCAUAUAUGGUAUUCCAUGACUGCCUGAUGUGUGCGAUUUUUGCGUGUAAGCGCUGACUAAGCUCAUGCAAGUUGGUUUUCUGCGCGGAGUGCAAGUGGGCCAUGUGAGGACUUAAAAGUGGGGGUAUUGCACCCAUGUUCAGCGGCACCGUCUGGUGUGGAAAAAUUGUUAAACCUAAAAGGGUUAUAAAGAAACGAGAAAAGCACAGACAGAGAUAUGCAACUUGAUGUCCACACAAUGAGCUGUUUUAUGUCAAUCGGGGAGAUAUAAAGUACUUCGUUUUUACUUUAAGGAUUCCUUUUUAUACCUCUUAGUAUAUAAAAUAAUAUUUUUAUGAACUGUUAAACAUACGAAGCAUAAACAACGUGAAAAACCUAGAGAAGCCAGUUGUACUUCCAAUAUUAAAAUAAAUUUAUGUCUCCACAACA